Molecule: ribosomal RNA, 768 nt
Filed under: uncultured Actinomycetes bacterium
Lineage: Bacteria; Bacillati; Actinomycetota; Actinomycetes
Description: bacterial SSU rRNA
Rfam family: Bacterial small subunit ribosomal RNA
Source: RNAcentral
AGAGUUUGAUUAUGGCUCAGGAUGAAAGCUGGCGGCGUGCUUAACACAUGCAAGUCGAACGAGGUCCAACCUUCGGGUGAAGACCGAGUGGCGAACGGGUGAGUAACACGUGGGGAACCUGCCCUUCUCUCUGGGAUAACCUCGGGAAACCGGAGCUAAUACCGGAUACUCCUUGCGGACCGCAUGGUCUGCUCGGGAAAGCUCCGGCGGAGAAGGAUGGCCCCGCGGCCCAUUAGCUUGUUGGUGGGGUAACGGCCCACCAAGGCGACGAUGGGUAGCCGAGCUGAGAGGCUGAUCGGCCACACUGGGACUGAGACACGGCCCAGACUCCUACGGGAGGCAGCAGUGGGGAAUCUUGCGCAAUGGGCGAAAGCCUGACGCAGCAACGCCGCGUGCGGGAUGAAGGCUCUCGGGUCGUAAACCGCUUUCAGCAGGGAUGAAAAUGACAGUACCUGCAGAAGAAGCCCCGGCUAAAUACGUGCCAGCAGCCGCGGUAAUACGUAUGGGGCAAGCGUUAUCCGGAUUCAUUGGGCGUAAAGCGCGCGUAGGCGGCUUGUUAAGUCAGGCGUGAAAUCCGGGGGCUCAACCCGCGGCUUGCGUCUGAACUGGCAGGCUUGAGUCUGGUAGAGGAAAGUGGAAUUCCUGGUGUAGCGGUGAAAUGCGCAGAUAUCAGGAGGAACACCAGUGGCGAAGGCGGCUUUCUGGGCCACGACUGACGCUGAGGCGCGAAAGCUAGGGAAGCGAACAGGAUUAGAUACCCUGGUAGUC